RNAcentral lists this unclassified non-coding RNA (348 nucleotides) under soil metagenome. Its description in RNAcentral is "partial contains 5.8S ribosomal RNA, internal transcribed spacer 2, and large subunit ribosomal RNA". The stretch from base 1 to 120 matches the Rfam family "5.8S ribosomal RNA", at positions 35 to 154 of the family's 154-position model. The record is from RNAcentral.
GAUGAAGAACGUAGCGAAAUGCGAUAAGUAAUGUGAAUUGCAGAAUUCAGUGAAUCAUCGAAUCUUUGAACGCACAUUGCGCCCGCCAGUAUUCUGGCGGGCAUGCCUGUCUGAGCGUCAUUUCAACCCUCAUGCCCCUAGGGCGUGGUGUUGGGGAUCGGCCAAAGCCCGCGAGGGACGGCCGGCCCCUAAAUCUAGUGGCGGACCCGUCGAGGCCUCCUCUGCGAAGUAGUGAUAUUCCGCAUCGGAGAGCGAUGAGCCCCUGCCGUUAAACCCCCAACUUUCCAAGGUUGACCUCAGAUCAGGUAGGAAUACCCGCUGAACUUAAGCAUAUCAAUAAGCGGAGGA